Molecule: long non-coding RNA, 698 nt
Organism: Mercurialis annua (annual mercury)
Lineage: Eukaryota; Viridiplantae; Streptophyta; Magnoliopsida; Malpighiales; Euphorbiaceae
Exons: 2
Source: RefSeq, a predicted model, not a curated record
GCAAACUAUACUAAUCGAGUCAUAAUAAGGUCAUUUUAAUUUAUUAUUUUUUUUCAAUUUUUUUUUCUUUGUAUGUCCUCUGUUCAAAAAGAUUGGGGACAAAGGAUUUUGGAGAUAAUGAGAAGCAAACUGAUUUUCAUUGGUGUUAUAUUACAAGUGUGAAAAGCUUUAACAUUAAUCAUUGAAGCAUUAGAUCAUCAGCCACCUUUUUUCCACCACAUGCAGGCGAAAGAGUUUAACACCGCCAUGAUCAUAAUCUCUCAUCCUUCUCUUGUUUCAAGGCAGAGAAUUUCUGAUCCGCAACAAUGGUGACCAGCCGCCGCUUCUUUUGCCGUGGAACUUCGUCGCCCAACAAAAAACCGUUUCCAAAAGUGUCUAACCGGCAUCAAAAACCGCCUCCACUAUUGGGGUCUCCUAAGCAUUUCUUAAUCUUCAUCGUCAAUUGGUAUAACGCUUCUACUAUCAGUUCUGUAUUUUACAAAACCAAGGUAAUACUUAUAUUACUUUAACCGCUACUCACAGUAAGUUUUUUCUUUUUUAAAUUUUAUUUUUCUAUAUUGCUACCGUUCGUUUAACAAAUUUUUACAUAUUAGUAUUUUAAUUUGUUAAACGAAUGUGUAUUUGGAUGGCUCAAUAUAAUAGCCGCAAAGUCCAUUUUUAUUUUCUUCGUUUAAGACUGGUUCAUUUUCUUCAUGAGA